AUUAUAGUGACCGGCGAUGGUUCCCUGCCGGUCAAGAUCCCGGCGGGGUGAAAAUGGGAACACGGUCAAGGCUCCGAUUCGGGGCCAAAUCCGGGACUGCCCCCGCAACUGUAGGCGGAGAGGGUCCGACCCCCACAGCCACUGACCGCUCAUCCGGUUGGGAAGGCCGGGUCGAAUCCGUUGACCCGCAAGUCAGGAGACCUGCCAUCACGAGAGUCGUCGC
RNAcentral lists this non-coding RNA (223 nucleotides) under Magnetospirillum molischianum. The record is from RNAcentral. Lineage: Bacteria; Pseudomonadati; Pseudomonadota; Alphaproteobacteria; Rhodospirillales; Rhodospirillaceae.